This 465-nucleotide ribosomal RNA is filed under the name Vreelandella stevensii. Its description in RNAcentral is "partial 16S ribosomal RNA". It matches the Rfam family "Bacterial small subunit ribosomal RNA", at positions 338 to 795 of the family's 1533-position model. The record is from RNAcentral. Lineage: Bacteria; Pseudomonadati; Pseudomonadota; Gammaproteobacteria; Oceanospirillales; Halomonadaceae.
CCUACGGGUGGCUGCAGUGGGGAAUAUUGGACAAUGGGCGAAAGCCUGAUCCAGCCAUGCCGCGUGUGUGAAGAAGGCCUUCGGGUUGUAAAGCACUUUCAGUGGGGAAGAAAGCCUUGGGGCUAAUACCCUCGAGGAAGGACAUCACCCACAGAAGAAGCACCGGCUAACUCCGUGCCAGCAGCCGCGGUAAUACGGAGGGUGCGAGCGUUAAUCGGAAUUACUGGGCGUAAAGCGCGCGUAGGCGGUCUGAUAAGCCGGUUGUGAAAGCCCCGGGCUCAACCUGGGAACGGCAUCCGGAACUGUCAGGCUAGUGUGCAGGAGAGGAAGGUAGAAUUCCCGGUGUAGCGGUGAAAUGCGUAGAGAUCGGGAGGAAUACCAGUGGCGAAGGCGGCCUUCUGGACUGACACUGACGCUGAGGUGCGAAAGCGUGGGUAGCAAACAGGAUUAGAUACCCCAGUAGUC